GAUGAGAAAAUAAUUAUAAGAUAUUAAUUAUUUUAUAAAAUGUUUCUCGAUUAAUUUUUUUGAGGAUAAGCUCGAAAAAAAGUUAAGAAAUUUUACUAAUUUAGGUUAUCAUGUGGGCUUAAAAUUGGCUAUCAUAAGAGUNUGUUAUAAAACAAUAAUUUUAAUAUUUAAGAUAAAUAUAUUUUAUUCUAAUUUUUUACAGAAAUAAAGACCUCGAUUAAUAAAUGUUUUAUACCUAUGCUAGGAUGAGUAUUAAAACUUUUUAUAUUUUAAGAAAGUUUUAUAUAUUUUUCUUCUAAAAAAAUAUUGAUUAAAUUAAAUUAGUUAAAAGGAACUCGGCAAAAUUAAUGCUUUCGCCUGUUUAUCAAAAACAUGGCUCUCUGAAUUUAUUUUUAUAGGGAGUCAGGCCUGCCCAGUGAAUAAUAUUU
This 428-nucleotide ribosomal RNA is filed under the name Elimia fascinans. RNAcentral's name for it is "partial 16S ribosomal RNA". Lineage: Eukaryota; Metazoa; Mollusca; Gastropoda; Pleuroceridae. The record is from RNAcentral.